GCGGGCAUAGCUCAGUUGGUAGAGCAUCGGCUUCCCAAGCCGAGGGUCGCGGGUUCGAACCCCACUGCCCGCUCCA
This 76-nucleotide transfer RNA is filed under the name Deltaproteobacteria bacterium. Its description in RNAcentral is "tRNA-Gly". It matches the Rfam family "tRNA". Rfam says of the family: Transfer RNA (tRNA) molecules are approximately 80 nucleotides in length. Their secondary structure includes four short double-helical elements and three loops (D, anti-codon, and T loops). RNAcentral also lists the same sequence under 1 other name. Lineage: Bacteria; Pseudomonadati; Myxococcota; Myxococcia. The record is from RNAcentral.